UACGUAGGGGGCAAGCGUUGUCCGGAUUUAUUGGGCGUAAAGGGUGCGUAGGCGGGUCUUUAAGUCAGGGGUGAAAUCCUGGAGCUCAACUCCAGAACUGCCUUUGAUACUGAGGAUCUUGAGUUCGGGAGAGGUGAGUGGAACUGCGAGUGUAGAGGUGAAAUUCGUAGAUAUUCGCAAGAACACCAGUGGCGAAGGCGGCUCACUGGCCCGAUACUGACGCUGAGGCACGAAAGCGUGGGGAGCAAACAGG
Molecule: ribosomal RNA, 253 nt
Filed under: uncultured bacterium
Lineage: Bacteria
Description: partial 16S ribosomal RNA
Rfam family: Bacterial small subunit ribosomal RNA
Source: RNAcentral